AGCGAACGCUGGCGGCAGGCCUAACACAUGCAAGUCGAACGAACCUUUCGGGGUUAGUGGCGGACGGGUGAGUAACACGUGGGAACGUGCCUUUAGGUUCGGAAUAACUCAGGGAAACUUGUGCUAAUACCGAAUGUGCCCUUCGGGGGAAAGAUUAAUCGCCUUUAGAGCGGCCCGCGUCUGAUUAGCUAGUUGGUUGAGGUAAUGGCUCACCAAGGCGACGAUCAGUAGCUGGUCUGAGAGGAUGAUCAGCCACAUUGGGACUGAGACACGGCCCAAACUCCUACGGGAGGCAGCAGUGGGGAAUCUUGCGCAAUGGGCGAAAGCCUGACGCAGCCAUGCCGCGUGAGGGAUGACGGCCUUCGGGUUGUAAACCUCUUUUAGUAGGGAAGAAGCGCAAGUGACGGUACCUGCAGAAAAAGCACCGGCUAACUACGUG
Molecule: ribosomal RNA, 439 nt
Filed under: uncultured bacterium
Lineage: Bacteria
Description: partial 16S ribosomal RNA
Rfam family: Bacterial small subunit ribosomal RNA
Source: RNAcentral